UGUAUAGGUCACAUUUGGAUUGUUAGUUUGAGGAUUGCAUCGCUAUGUAAGCAGGGUGGCACAGUCAUCCGCCUGUGAAGUCAUGGCUCAUUACGCCAAAAGCGUGGCCACUUGUUAGGCAUUGAGAAGGUCGGACUGGAUGCUGAGCUGGCCACUACAAAGUUGCAAAUAUUCUUUUGAUUUUGUGAGUGCAACUUUUAAUUCAAACCUUAACUUUAUACACUUGUUCAUUUAUUUCUCUUACCAACUGUGGAAGUGAACUUCAAAUUUAGGAUCGAUAUGUCCAAACUGGAACAAAAAUCUCCAGGAGUGCUAUACUUCCAGUUCUGCUCUUUUGGCUUUGAAAUCCAG
This is a non-coding RNA of Pelobates cultripes (western spadefoot toad), 351 nucleotides long. The record is from the annotation of a GenBank genome assembly. Lineage: Eukaryota; Metazoa; Chordata; Amphibia; Anura; Pelobatidae.